This 231-nucleotide ribosomal RNA is filed under the name uncultured bacterium. RNAcentral's name for it is "partial 16S ribosomal RNA". It matches the Rfam family "Bacterial small subunit ribosomal RNA", at positions 30 to 240 of the family's 1533-position model. The record is from RNAcentral.
AGUGAACGCUGGCGGCAGGCCUAACACAUGCAAGUCGAGCGGCAGCGGGUCCCCGCGAGGGGAUGCCGGCGAGCGGCGGACGGGUGAGGAACACAUCGGAAUCUGCCUGGGUUGUCGGGGAUAACGUAGGGAAACUUACGCUAAUACCGCAUGCGACCCUGAGUCGACGGACUGGGGGUGAAAGUGAGGGACCUUCGGGCCGUCGACGCGACCAGAUGAGCCGAUGUCGGA